GCCAGGCAUACAACCAGGCGCAGGCAAGCCCAUCCUUGCCCGUGGAGGCUUCAAGCUCCCACCCAACAAGGCCUACUCCCUCCACAUCCCAGCGGCCUGGUCCGGCCGCAUCUGGGGCCGUCACGGAUGCUCCUUCGACGCCCACGGCCGGGGCCGCUGCGCUACCGGCGACUGCGGCGGCUCCCUUUUCUGCAACGGCAUGGGCGGCACACCUCCGGCCACCCUCGCCGAGAUCACCCUGGGUUCGGAGCAAGAUUUCUACGACGUGAGCCUCGUCGACGGUUACAACCUGGCCAUCUCCAUCACCCCCUUCAAAGGGUCAGGCAAGUGUAGCUACGCGGGAUGUGUGAGCGAC
Molecule: long non-coding RNA, 355 nt
Filed under: Vitis vinifera (wine grape)
Lineage: Eukaryota; Viridiplantae; Streptophyta; Magnoliopsida; Vitales; Vitaceae
Description: long non-coding RNA (VVIN_LNC005633)
Source: RNAcentral